AAAGGAAUAGACGGGGGCCCGCACAAGCGGUGGAGCAUGUGGUUUAAUUCGACGCAACGCGCAGAACCUUACCAGCCCUUGACAUGUCCAGGACCGGUCGCAGAGAUGUGACCUUCUCUUCGGAGCCUGGAGCACAGGUGCUGCAUGGCUGUCGUCAGCUCGUGUCGUGAGAUGUUGGGUUAAGUCCCGCAACGAGCGCAACCCCCGUCCUUAGUUGCUACCAUUUAGUUGAGCACUCUAAGGAGACUGCCGGUGAUAAGCCGCGAGGAAGGUGGGGAUGACGUCAAGUCCUCAUGGCCCUUACGGGCUGGGCUACACACGUGCUACAAUGGCGGUGACAAUGGGAUGCAAAGGCGCGAGCCCUAGCAAAUCUCAAAAAGCCGUCUCAGUUCGGAUUGGGCUCUGCAACUCGAGCCCAUGAAGUUGGAAUCGCUAGUAAUCGUGGAUCAGCAUGCCACGGUGAAUACGUUCCCGGGCCUUGUACACACCGCCCGU
This 495-nucleotide ribosomal RNA is filed under the name uncultured bacterium. Its description in RNAcentral is "bacterial SSU rRNA". It matches the Rfam family "Bacterial small subunit ribosomal RNA", at positions 903 to 1397 of the family's 1533-position model. The record is from RNAcentral.